GGGGCCAUGGCUCAGUGGUAGAACAUCUGCUUGGCAUGCAGAAUGUUCCAGGUUCAAUCCCUGGUGUCUCCA
Non-coding RNA from Sphaerodactylus townsendi, 72 nucleotides. NCBI's taxonomy places the organism in Eukaryota, Metazoa, Chordata, Lepidosauria, Squamata, Sphaerodactylidae. The record is from the annotation of a RefSeq genome assembly.